RNAcentral lists this ribosomal RNA (253 nucleotides) under uncultured bacterium. RNAcentral describes it as "partial 16S ribosomal RNA". It matches the Rfam family "Bacterial small subunit ribosomal RNA", at positions 524 to 776 of the family's 1533-position model. The record is from RNAcentral.
UACGUAGGUGGCAAGCGUUAUCCGGAUUUAUUGGGCGUAAAGGGAACGCAGGCGGUCUUUUAAGUCUGAUGUGAAAGCCUUCGGCUUAACCGGAGUAGUGCAUUGGAAACUGGGAGACUUGAGUGCAGAAGGGGAGAGUGGAAUUCCAUGUGUAGCGGUGGAAUGCGUAGAUAUAUGGAGGAACACCGGUGGCGAAAGCGGCUCUCUGGUCUGUAACUGACGCUGAGGCUCGAAAGCGUGGGUAGCGAACAGG